UUGAAUGUUAGUUUAGUGGUUUCCGUUGUGGUUUGUGCUUUUCCAUAUUCCCUUCAUCGCAGACGAUGGGUAUGCAUUGCAGCUAUAAUCAUAAUAUAAACGCUUCUGAUAUAAACGAUUUCUCAUCUUCCUGGACGGAGAAUAUAAUUCAAAACUUCAAUCAUUCACAAGAUGACGAAAGUUUUAAUGGUGAAACAUCAGAACGCUUUGUUACAAAUAUCGGUGUAAACAGCGAAGGUGAUUCGUACCCCGAGACGUGCCCGCCAGUUUCCUCUGUCGAAGAAAGGGCAGUGGUUCCCGUAACUUAUCCCAGUCCGAAUUACUUUUAAAUAUAACUAGUGACAGCUCGUCUACUAGUUCUGAGGGUCUUGACAGCAACAUAUCUGAAAAUACUAUUCUUAAGGUACUAAAUCUUCCAAAUCCAGCACAUUUUUUAGAAGAGGAGAAAACAUCUUCAAACAUCGGACAAUUAGAACAUAUUUUCGACUCGGAGUUCCCUUCA
Molecule: long non-coding RNA, 502 nt
Filed under: Cimex lectularius (bed bug)
Lineage: Eukaryota; Metazoa; Arthropoda; Insecta; Hemiptera; Cimicidae
Description: uncharacterized LOC112126891, transcript variant X2
Source: RNAcentral